ACUUAAGAGGUGGGACCCACUAUCCAUAAAGAAUUGGUUCCUUUUUCUUUGGCAUUUCAUGUUGGAUAUUAAUUUUCUUCUAAAGGCAUAUUCAGCAACUUGUUUGUAGAUAUAGCAGCAAUAUGCUUUCUCUCUAUAUGUAUACGCAUUAGCAAAGUAGUUUCUCGAUAAUAGCAGCAACAAACAUUGCAUCAUAUUUAUGUAUGGCAUCAAAACGUACCAGCACUUUAUUUUUUUCAAGAAGAUACAUCAAUCUCUUCCUUCAACAAUUUAGUAUUACCAUUUUUUUUCUCCUCCAAAUAACAAGCAGCAACACUUACUUGGAUUUGUAGCAACGUUUUCCCCUCAAAUACCUUGAUAAGUUGUAUCUUCUUCAACAAAAAGAAAGGUAGAUGUCGUAAAUCUAAUGUCGGGAAUUGCGUGGUGCCAGUAGAGCAAGCUCCAUCGUGUUGUGGUUGCAUUGGAUGUUUCUUUAGGUCGAAGUGACCUAAGAUAAAGCUUAUUCUUGUUGGAUUAAGAUCUUAGGAAGCCUGAGACUUAGGUUUGGGUUAGCUUAAGGAGCGGACAAGGUACAGACACUCGGUUUGGUGAUCUUCCAGCUUAGGACUUCUGCUCAGCUGCUUGGAGAGCUCCAUUGUUCCGGAGCCUAGACUUAUAUAUAUGUCCAGGGGUACGGCGGGACCCUGUCCCGUCAUAUUUCACUUUUAUACUCUUAGAGGUCUGUAGACAUAUGUGGGUUGUAUAUGGGUUAUGGUCAGCUGUGUCGAUAUGGUUUGUCUUGGAUAUUCCCGUAUGUAGUGGCAGUCUUGUCGGCUUGCGUAUUGUGUUAUGAUUUGGUUGGUUGUGACUCCUCAGGAGACAGGUUUAUGAUAUGUGAUGUUAUGAAUCUUUAGUUGCUUUUACAAGUUUCCAUACUAUCCUUAGUUUCAGUUUGACUAUAUUUAACAGGUUCGUAUACGAGUGCCCAGCUCGGGCAUUAGUCAUGGUCCAUGGGGUUGGGUCGUGACACUAGCAUACAUGUACCAUUUUCCC
Lycium barbarum (goji berry) is the source of this 1032-nucleotide long non-coding RNA. RefSeq lists it as uncharacterized. Lineage: Eukaryota; Viridiplantae; Streptophyta; Magnoliopsida; Solanales; Solanaceae. The transcript has 3 exons. The record is from RefSeq and is a predicted model, not a curated record.